Long non-coding RNA from Trifolium pratense (red clover), 216 nucleotides. RefSeq lists it as uncharacterized. NCBI's taxonomy places the organism in Eukaryota, Viridiplantae, Streptophyta, Magnoliopsida, Fabales, Fabaceae. The transcript is spliced from 3 exons. The record is from RefSeq and is a predicted model, not a curated record.
CGGCACCAGGUUUCCCUUGUUGUCCAUCCAAUCAGGAACCUUAAAUGUUUAUUUUGUUUCAUGUGAUAAAUAUUGGGAUAUGGAGAGAGAGUUACAGAGCCAAAGGUAAUUUCAUAGGGUGCCAUUAGUGCUCCUAUGUACUCGAUGAAAGGCUCGUCCAUGAUACAGUCACAUUACCCGACUGCAUUUCCCCUAAAGCAUCAGUAGAAGGCAAGU